AUGGAUGGAUCCGGCAAGAGCGAAAUCAGAAUGGGAAUAACAAUUGAGAAGGAACAAGUUGAAAUUGAGUGGCUAGGGUUUAUGAAAGGGGAAAGAAAGAAAUUAAUAGAUCGAACAAAUUUGAUCUGCGUGAUAAGGUCAUGUUUGGUUCAAGCCGACACGACCCCUCUGUUCCCUCUCAUCCCCUCUUUCUACACUCACUCAUUACUUUAC
Non-coding RNA from Vicia faba (fava bean), 213 nucleotides. Lineage: Eukaryota; Viridiplantae; Streptophyta; Magnoliopsida; Fabales; Fabaceae. The record is from the annotation of a GenBank genome assembly.